UCUUCAUUUCCCACACUGUCUCACCGGUCGGAUUGGCGAGAGAGUGUGCAAAAUGAAGAGA
This is a non-coding RNA of Pristionchus pacificus, 61 nucleotides long. The record is from Rfam. NCBI's taxonomy places the organism in Eukaryota, Metazoa, Nematoda, Chromadorea, Rhabditida, Neodiplogasteridae.